Molecule: RNA transcript, 3154 nt
Organism: Cryptotermes secundus
Lineage: Eukaryota; Metazoa; Arthropoda; Insecta; Blattodea; Kalotermitidae
Gene: Coq6
Gene name: ubiquinone biosynthesis monooxygenase COQ6, mitochondrial
Exons: 12
Source: RefSeq, a predicted model, not a curated record
AUGUGGUGUACGUACAAAAGAACGUGGAGGAGAAAAUGUGUUCAUUGAGAAGAAUGUUUAGCAAGUCGCGAAAUAUUUGUUCUUGCGUUCAUAUCAUGAAUAAUGUAAGAGCAAAUCAAAUUAGGUUUCUGUGCAGGGAGGCGUCUACAUCAUCAAGGCUUAACGAGAAAAAUGCACAUUAUGAUAUUAUCGUUGCUGGCGGAGGAAUGGUUGGAACAACAUUGGCGUGUACUUUAGCUCAAGCACCAAGACUAUCAGGUAGGAAGAUUCUGCUUUUGGAAGGAAGCCCACAACAAAGCAGGGACCUGAAGCCACAGUACAGUAACCGUGUGUCUUCCCUCAACAGUGGCACAAAGGAUCUUUUGCAGUUGAUUGGUGCAUGGACGCAUAUUGCUAAUGCAAGAUACAAAACUGUAAAGAAGCUACAGGUGUGGGAGGCCUGUUCAGAUGCAAUGAUAACAUUCAGUCAUGAUGGAAUGGUUGAAGACAUUGCUUAUAUUGUGGAGAAUGAUGUGUUGUUAGCUGCUGUUAAUAGACAGAUUCAAGAACUGACUGGAUAUCUGACAGUUAUCCAUCAAGCUAAAAUAAAGGGAUACGAGCUUCCACAGCGCUGUGGAACAGCUAAUGAUGUUCGAGUUCAUCUAGAAAAUGGUUCAUCUUAUAUUUCCAGCUUAUUGAUCGGAGCUGAUGGUGCCAAUUCUCAGGUUCGGAAGGCAAUGGGAGUGCAGUAUUUAUCGUGGGAUUAUAACCAGAUGGGAGUAGUAGCCACACUGAACUUAUCUGAGCCGAUGAACAAUGUGGUAGCUUGGCAGCGAUUCCUGCCCACUGGGCCAGUUGCCCUUCUGCCACUUACAGAUGAACUGAGUUCGCUGGUAUGGUCAACAUCCAUUGAGCAUGCAAAGGAGCUGCUCAGUAUCUCUAAUGAAAGUUUUGUGGAUGCUCUGAAUGAUGCUUUGUGGAAGAAGUGUCCUCGGGAUAAGAUCAUUGAUGUAGCAACUCAGAGGUUAGAUAACUUGCUUGAAUCAGUGUUUGAGACGUCCAACGCUGUUCGACAACUGCACCCAAGUAUAUCUGGUGUAGUGGAGGGCAGUAGGGCUGCUUUCCCUCUUGGAUUUGGUCAUGCAACAUGCUAUGUUGGUAAAGGAGUGGCUUUAGUUGGAGAUGCAGCCCACAGAGUUCACCCAUUGGCUGGUCAAGGAGUCAACUUGGGGUUUGGAGAUGUUAAGUGCCUGUCUGAGUUGCUGUGUGAAGCUGUGUUCAAUGGCAGUUCACUUGGGAACAUGUCUCACCUUAUGAAAUAUGAGACUUUGAGGCAAAGACAUAAUCUGCCUACCAUGUUGGCAACUGAAGGCCUGCAGAAAUUGUAUGGAACAACAUUGACUCCAGUUGUGGUUCUUCGUAGUCUUGGACUUCAGCUUACACAUGUACUUAGUCCUGUGAAGAAAAUGAUUAUGAACUAUGCUGCAGCAUGAUGAAAGCCUACUGUCCUGAUGAAGUCCAUUUUCUAUGUUGUGGGCAUUAUCCUUUACAUGAAAUGCCAGAUUAAAGGCAGGGAAAAUGGAUCAGCAUCAAGAGGCAGGACGUAAAUGGUUGUUGAAAUGGAAAAAAUGUAGAAGGAUGUGACUGUGGCCUACUUAAGGUACUGUACCAUCAUUUUACUGCAGGGAUUGAAAUAUAUCAUGAAUAAUCUUGGAAUACCUGGACUCUAGACAGAGAUUAAAACAUGGAAUAUAUAGAAUAUGAAGCUGCAAUUGUAUUGCUGACAAUAGGAAUCUGAAACAUGUUGUAAAAUCUCUUUCCUGUUGAAUAUGAAUUGAUUUAAAACUUCUUGCAGGAGUGUACAUAUAUCUGCAUUGUCAUGAUGAUGUAAUGUGUACCUAUUUUGUUGUGCAGGAUAAAGUACUACAAACAAUUUUUAGGAAACCUGAAACAUGGCUGCUAGAUGCUUAAGCAUAAAACAAAUAAUAUACAUAUAUAAGAUAUUAGCAUAAUGAGGGACCUAGCAAAAAUAAUGGGAAAAUAAUGAAAUAUAAAUCAGGAAGAUGAAGGACUCAGUAACAGAUCCUGAAUAUGUACACUUCUCUCAGCAAAUGUCAUGAUAGUACCUUGAUGAGGCCACAACUACUUCCUUUCAAAUCCUUUCCAAUUCAUCAGUCAUCCUAUCAUUCAAUGCAAUAUAGUUGAUACUGACAGCAUUGUAAAAUAAACUGCCUGAAAGAAAUUUCUUCCUCUUUGGGUACAUGAAACAUUACAUGCUGGAACUAUAUGACCUUGGAAAUCAGUUGGUGUUUGUAGCUUUGUUCAGUGUCGACUGCAUAUUUCUACUGAGGCACCUGUGCAUUUCAGUAUAAUAAUACCAGAUAAUGUAAAAGAUAGUAAGAAAAAUAUUAUCACAUUAAACAUGAACAAGAUUUUAACGGUGACAAAUACUUUUACUGUGAUAAGUAUUUUUCUUUAUAAAAUUACAUUCAGUCUUGGAAUUCUGACAAUGGCGAACAGGUCACCUGAUAUUCAAACUAAGGCAUAUCAUAUGGUGAUUAGCAGCUUAUACAUCUAUAUCUGGGUAAUUGGAAUUCAACAUUAGGGUACGUUAAUUGCUUGUAAUUUUCCACAGAUAUUAAUUUUACACCUAGAAUAACAAUAUGAUACCACAUUCCAAAAGCAAAUAUUGCUAUAAAGUAGUAAGUAAGUAAGUACACACUAUGCAGCACCUGCUGCAAGUUCUAUCACCUUUGAGAUUCGUGCGCACAAGUAUUUGUCACAAAGUAGUGCACUGGUACCAUGGGCAUUGCCAGGAUUGGGGGGGGAUUUGCUUAUGAAGUUACAUUUUAGGAGUUUAAAAUAUUUCUAAUGAUCACUCUAGGGUCACUACAUUGAAACACAAUGGCACCACAUUUACAAUUAAUUUUACACUUUACUAUUAGAAUUUGGUACACUUCCACUCUUUUUUCAAUUUAGAUUUUUUGUCCAUAUUUUUUUUUGGGGGGGGGGACAGAUGUUCGACCCCCUGCCCUUCCACCACAGCACCCAUGAUUGCUACUGUGUACUGGAUCAAGACAGUUUUACAGUUCACAGUGUAAUACAAUCUACAGUGGAACCUCGCUUAACGAGCAUAAUCUUACUCGUAAUACAAAACACUCGUUAAGUGAAGCAA